CGGUGUCAACUGGCAUGUCCUGUGGAACGUCCUGCCGGUGGCGGACCGGGCUUUCGGCUUGCGUAAGGGCUUACGCCCGAAGCAGGCCGAACAGUACCGGCCGCCGGUCCAAUCCCGCCACGGUGCUCUUCACCGAGUGUCGAGGUGGGCCGGCACGUUUACUUUGAACAAAUUAGAGUGCUUAAAGCAGGCUGGUGUCCGCCUGAAUACUGUGUGCAUGGAAUAAUAGAAUAGGACCUCGGUUCUAUUUUGUUGGUUUUCGGAACCCGAGGUAAUGAUUAAUAGGGACAGGCGGGGGCAUUCGUAUUGCGACGUUAGAGGUGAAAUUCUUGGAUCGUCGCAAGACGAACCUAAGCGAAAGCAUUUGCCAAGUAUGUUCUCGUUAAUCAAGAACGAAAGUUAGAGGUUCGAAGGCGAUCAGAUACCGCCCUAGUUCUAACCAUAAACGAUGCCAGCCAGCGAUCCGCCGAAGUUCCUCCGAUGACUCGGCGGGCAGCUUCCGGGAAACCAAAGCUUUUGGGUUCCGGGGGAAGUAUGGUUGCAAAGCUGAAACUUAAAGGAAUUGACGGAAGGGCACCACCAGGAGUGGAGCCUGCGGCUUAAUUUGACUCAACACGGGAAACCUCACCAGGCCCGGACACCGGAAGGAUUGACAGAUUGAGAGCUCUUUCUUGAUUCGGUGGGUGGUGGUGCA
RNAcentral lists this ribosomal RNA (694 nucleotides) under Aeneolamia albofasciata. RNAcentral describes it as "SSU rRNA". It matches the Rfam family "Eukaryotic small subunit ribosomal RNA", at positions 705 to 1284 of the family's 1831-position model. Lineage: Eukaryota; Metazoa; Arthropoda; Insecta; Hemiptera; Cercopidae. The record is from RNAcentral.